Molecule: ribosomal RNA, 253 nt
Filed under: uncultured bacterium
Lineage: Bacteria
Description: partial 16S ribosomal RNA
Rfam family: Bacterial small subunit ribosomal RNA
Source: RNAcentral
UACGUAGGGGGCUAGCGUUGUCCGGAAUCAUUGGGCGUAAAGAGCGCGUAGGCGGUCCGGUAAGUCCGCUGUGAAAGUCAAGGGCUCAACCCUUGGAUGCCGGUGGAUACUGUCGGACUAGAGUCCGGAAGAGGCGAGUGGAAUUCCUGGUGUAGCGGUGAAAUGCGCAGAUAUCAGGAGGAACACCAAUGGCGAAGGCAGCUCGCUGGGACGGUAUUGACGCUGAGGUUCGAAAGCGUGGGGAGCAAACAGG